Molecule: long non-coding RNA, 2552 nt
Organism: Clupea harengus (Atlantic herring)
Lineage: Eukaryota; Metazoa; Chordata; Actinopteri; Clupeiformes; Clupeidae
Exons: 4
Source: RefSeq, a predicted model, not a curated record
UGUGUGUGUGUGUGUGUGUGUGUAUUUACAUACAGUGAUCUAUGUUUAUCUGCAUCUAUUUCCAUGUCAUCUGAUUAAACGAACAGUGUUUUCAUAUGAUUCAUCUGAACAGAUUGUUCAGAGACUGGCACAUGGUGGGAGGUUUAGCAAUGACCCGUGUAGUAAGUUUACUCAGGGUGAGAUGAUAAGAAGACAUUACAUCAACUGUAAAGAUACACAUAAAUCAUGAUUUUACGACUAUGAAAACAGGUGAGACUAUGAAAGGCAAAUGGAUAUAUUUGUACAACAGUGAAAGUCAAACUUAUGGCUCUGAAGGGCAAGGAGUAAGAAAACCUUUGGGACCCAGUCAGUAAAACUCUCUUACAGUAACUGCUCAACCUUGCUCCAGAUCCUCUCAUCCGUCUGUCUCUGAUGAGCUAAACGAAGUAAGGCAAGUGCUUCUCUGAAGGAAUCAAGUAUGUUAAGUAUCUAAAGUUCAGGUUGAAACAGGCUGAACACACAGAAGAUCACCUGAUCUGGUGGCAUGAAGAAGUUACACAGAUGUCCUGCCCCCUGAGCAGGGAAUACUGCCCACAUGAACAAUUUCCAUGUAAGACUGCAUCAUGUGCAGUCAACCAUUUAACAAACCAUCUAUGUGUAAAUAUAUUAUCUUCAAUCAUUUCUGGUGAACUGGGUAUGAGGCAGUUAUCAGGGCUAUGCACCUGAAGGAAAACUUACAAUUGACACCAGUUAUCAAAGUGUCAAUUGUAAGCCGCUCAUUAUUACUCAUGCCCUCCCACCCAAAGCUGUAUAGUGCAUAAAAACCUAUUGGGUAUGGAGUGGUCUGACGGCUACAGUGAAUGGAGAAGUGGAAGUGAUCUUCAUUGUGAUGGUGGUGUGCCUCAGGGAACAGUUUUGGUACCUUUCCUAUUUCCCGUUGGUUGGUAUUUUUAAUUUUUUAUGUGAAACCAAAAACUCAAACAAUGAAGUGCAUGUAAGGUCACAACAGAAAUGAUCUUGCCUUCAGCACAAUGCCAAGAAGACACUGUGAGAGGAAAGAGGCCGACAGAUGCGUAAAAUGUGAAGAAUUCAGGGGAGGAGCUGAAAGUGAUCGUUCAUUCUAGACACCUGGAUGUUUUACUUACCUCCAUGCCAAGGGAACUGGAUGGAAAGAAAAGUAGUUAAUUUUGUCACAUUUCCUUAAAGAAUAUUAUGUCAGUUGUAUGAUCAUAACAAUGUGUUAAAGCUGUUUAAAAAGUCUUAAUCUCAUCAGAUACAAUGAGGGGACUAAUCAUUUGUUCUCCUGUGGUUCAACUGGUUGAGUAAGGUGCUAACCACACCAAGGCCAUGGGUUCCUUAACCAGGGAGAACACUGUUGAAAAUGUACAUCUCCACUGUAUUAUAACCAGGGAGAACACUGUUGAAAAUGUACAUCUCCACUGUAUUAUAACCAGGGAGAACACUGUUGAAAAUGUACAUCUCCACUGUAUUAUAACCAGGGAGAACACUGUUGAAAAUGUAUAUCUCCACUGUAUUAUAAGUCGCACUGAAUAAAAGCAAAGAAACGUAAAUGCAAUCACACUCACCAACUGCAGCAAUGGGUGGACCAGUUCGGCCCUGUUCACAGACCAGUUUAGCCCAGUUUAGCCUAACAGACCAGUUUAGCCUUGUUCACAGACCAGUUUAGCCCAGUUUAGCCUAACAGACCAGUUUAGCCCUGUUCACAGACCAAUUAUGUACAUGGUUUAAAUGGAUCAAGACAGAAUGUAAGAAGAGUGUAAUAUAUGUGUUAUUUUAUAUAUGCAGAUACACUGUGUAAACCUCCCACUGCCACAAAUGAGCUUUGAUGGUUCAACUGGCAUAUUUACAGAAAUCCAUGUGUAUUGUUUUUAACAUUCUUAACCCAACAAAGUCAAAUCAAAGGCCUCUGAUGCUGUCAUUGUUACUCUAUGGAUGAGAAAUGAAUGUGUCCUAUUCUUGUGAUAUUCAGAGAUUAGCAUUUAAAUCAAUAAUAACAAUAUGAUAUUAAAUGGUGGUGUUUCAGUUGUUUGUUCAGAAAUGUAAUCAAUUACUCGUUAUAGCCUUAUAUAAUAGCCUUCUGUAUAUUUUCUUCAGUAACACUAUAACAUCAGUAAAGACUUUUUCAGAUCUCGAUAAACGUUACAAGCAUUUUCACGGGAGUCAGCAUUUUGUGUGUUCUGUGUGGUGUCAGAGGCAAAGGUUUAUUGGAGUAUAACACGUUUAAAGCAGGAGACACAUACUGUACAGGGGAAAAACCUGGAAAAAAACAACCAAAAUCCCCAAACUCAGAGCCAAGCUGGAAAAAAAGAUGAGCCAGAGAAGUACCCACGAAGAGAGGUUCGUCAUGGGCUAUGACACAUACCUCAGUGUAGCAGAUUUGACGUCGUUCAGCAAAAACCAUAGCCUUAUGCAAACAGUGAGAACGUGCAUGAUGUCAUCACACAAACAGCACUGGUUUUGCCUGGCUCCGAUCCGAUUCAGGACGGUGGAAUCAUCAUCAUCAGAGCCAAAGGAGUCACUCAGGUGCCAGGCAGACUGUGGUCAAAUCAAAA